This 68-nucleotide transfer RNA is filed under the name Armatobalanus allium. RNAcentral describes it as "tRNA-Glu". The record is from RNAcentral. Lineage: Eukaryota; Metazoa; Arthropoda; Thecostraca; Balanomorpha; Balanidae.
AUCUCCGUAGUGUAAAUCUAACACACUUCAUUUUCGUUGAAGAAAAGAAAAAUUUUUUUCCUGAGAUA